Molecule: long non-coding RNA, 1233 nt
Organism: Scylla paramamosain (green mud crab)
Lineage: Eukaryota; Metazoa; Arthropoda; Malacostraca; Decapoda; Portunidae
Exons: 5
Source: RefSeq, a predicted model, not a curated record
GCGGCGACAUUCGAGGCGGAGACGUGACCAAGAGCACACUGUAUCCCGCGCACAGCGAUUACUACAUUUUACGUGGAAAGGCAAUACUGAAAUAAUGUGCCGCAGGUAUAGAAGAAAGAGAAAUAGAAGUAAAUAAAAUCAGUUUGCAGGUCAAGUUUGCUAUCAAGAUGCAAAAUAUUUUCCGAGAUUCACCACAACAUCCUUCACAUCUGUGACCUGCAAAGAAUGAAUCCAUGCCAAUAAUCAAGUGCUGUUGGUGAUGAUCUGCAAUAUCCUGGCGGGGUCCAUGGCGAAGGAAGUAACUGGAGGCAGGAAUGAACAGUCUUGAGUGACACGGAGGCGAGGCGUCAACCCUUACUAAGGAGUGGUCUGGUGCUCCACGAAUCCUCAGUGUCUUAUCUCUCUCUCACUGCCGUCACACGUGAUGUACGAAGAGCUCUCCUCGUCGUCAUCCCAGUCACGUGAGCAUCAUUCUCUGCAGCGGCGGCACAAACAUGCCGACAUGUCAUUCCCCAGCGUCAUCUUUACGGGGCCUCUUUCAUCUCUUCAUAAACGACGCAGUCUUUCAUCACCUGAAACUUAUAUCGCCACCUCUCCGGAUUUCCUUAGUACUCCGCAAGCGCUAUAUCUGUCCUCUGAAUCUCCCUCUUCCUAAGAAAAAUGUUCACGUCACUGCGUAAAAUCAAGGCAUCAACUAGACGAGAGAGCAACAAAACCAGGGCUGCGGAAACUGAACCUCACUUACAGUACUUUGUCUACAUGCCAGUGUCGGGCCACCACGUCUUCCUUUGCACAAUACCUGUACCGUGCAGCUCCUCACGCACCCUGCAUCCCUUCAGGCAGCGCCAGAGACGCAAGAGGGAAUGAAGAGAGGGUGGAAGGGAAGGAGGGAGGUCAGGCGGGAAAUAUGUGUUAUAGCAUAAUGGAGACUCGCAGCACCCCAGUCUUCGCAGCUUCAGCACAUGUAGGAGCGUGGCAGUAUUAAUUUAAUGCAAUCAACUUACUAGAGAGAAAAAAAAAGUAAAUUAUGUUUACCCGAAGAUAACAGUGAAGGGAAGAAAAUUUAAUUAAGCAUUUUGUGCCCUCCUUCCCUUCCUCUUUUUUUUUUUUUUAAUGUCUCUUUUCUUUUGUCUUUGCAAUUGUUGUUAUUGUUGUUGCUAUUGGUGUUGGUGGUAGUGGUAGUGGUGGUGGUGGUAAUGUUUCGUUAUUCUUCCUUUUGUGUGUUGUUGUUGC